This 541-nucleotide ribosomal RNA is filed under the name uncultured bacterium. RNAcentral's name for it is "partial 16S ribosomal RNA". The record is from RNAcentral.
AUGCCCUCCGUCGUCAUCCCUUAUAACGCGUUACCUGCUUACAGACUGGGUCGGUACGGCGCACGUCCUACNGCCGGGAUACCCAACAUUUGACGAAAAUAUGCCCUUCUUNGGAGGGAUGCACAUCCCCCGACUGCCAUGGCAUUCUUAUUCCUAGCCGAUUGAGGCANGGUCGUCGGCGCCAUUAUGCCUCCUAGGUUCGCAACAGGCCUAAAUAACCCAAAUUUCCCACGCAUCCGCCUGAUAAUUCAGUCUCCACUUUCAAACGUCGAAUUGACAUUUUAACGGAAACUUUGACCAUCAGAACUCAUAUCAACUCCAUCCGCCUUACACAGUACAUCGCCANUUUACGAAUCUAUACUAUGUCNUGNGGCUAACGCUUCCGUCGAAUGAUUUGACAUUGACUGCGACUCCGUGNUUUCGCACCCCNCGCNUGUCCNAAUCUAGGGGACCAUCAGGUGCGGGAUUUGCAACUUAUGAGCAANAAUCGCNAUAUGACAAUCGCUGANUCGCUUNCGUAAUUCAUAAGGUGGACCCCUCA